This is a long non-coding RNA of Notolabrus celidotus (New Zealand spotty), 1858 nucleotides long. RefSeq lists it as uncharacterized. The record is from RefSeq and is a predicted model, not a curated record. NCBI's taxonomy places the organism in Eukaryota, Metazoa, Chordata, Actinopteri, Labriformes, Labridae. The transcript is spliced from 2 exons.
UGACGUUCUGUUACCUCGCUGCAGGUGAGGUCAGGUUCGUCUCUGCCAAUCAUCUCAAGCGCUCUCGCGGACAAGACCAUUAUGACGAUCAGCAGCCACAGCGUCGGGACUGAAGCACGUGGAGCCAUUUCACAGGUUGUCUCCUACUCCCCACGUCCAAACACACACAGCCCGUCACCCCUAUGCAACCAGCAACAGUAAUGCAUGACCGCGAUGAUUAUUUGGAAAAACUAGUGCAGCCCAUUCCUCCUCGAUCACGUCAGUAGUCUGUUGUAACGCUCCAGGGUUUCUGUUUCACACCUCCUUUCCUGAUCAUUCAAAGCCCAGGGAGUGGGCGUGACGAGGCGCAGUGCCAACUUCUCAGGUGGAACGGACUGACUAUCAUUAAUGUGUGUCAGUUUGGUUUUUCAAGACAUUUUGAUCACAACAUAAGUCUCCUGAAUAAAACCCCUGAAAUCCUGUGGCAAACAGUACCGGGGGACACCUCUGAAGAUCUUUGGGAUGUCCUUGCUGUGGCCAAGUCCCUGGAAGUAGACAAGGGCCACUCCUUGACCUUUGCCCUGUUGCAGUGCCCCCUCCAGGCAGGCCAGAGUAGCCAUAAACACCGGUGCUAUCACUGUAGAAGGCUCCUUCUGGGAGUAGCAGUCUAUAUCAUCACAUUGUUUAACUUUUUCUCCUACUACUUUCUCACCCUUGUUUUUCUCAAGUCUUUUUCCAUCUAGUUGCCUCUCCUGUCUUUUAGUUGUCCUCUCCUCCCUCCACGCCUCAUGUGUCCUUUUUGCUUCAGGGCUCCAGACAAUCAGCACUUUUCCUUGAGCUUUGUGCACAGCUUCCCACUGCCCAUAUAGCCAGGGAAGCGGACCCAGAUCUGCAACUCCAGUUGCAGCCCCGGCUUGUGUUUGAGAGUUUUGGGCCCACAAAGCCAUGUUCACUGUGGCACUCAGGUCCCCCUGCAGGAUUGAGGCUAAUGCACACACAGCAGAGACAUGGGCUGCCUGCUCUGAUGAGCAGACCAGCAACACUGGCUUCUGGAUGGAGAGCCAUCCUGGAAACACAGGGAAAGACAGAGGAAGUAAAAAGGUUUAAUUGAAUUUCAAUUGAUCUUUUAUUUUUGUAUAUUCAGUACAGGUGCUUUAAGUCCAACACCAUCACAGAAAUCAACUGAAAUCUGAAGAUGGAGACAAGCAGCCAGCCAGGGACACACCCAAAAAAACAUUCAGUUACCAUAUUAACCAGAAUAUAAUAUGUGUUUAUUCUUCAUCUAAAUACAUCUGAAUAGAAGUGGGAUCGCCUUACAUUCAGGAAUUAGUCAUUUAAAUGCCAGUGUUUGGUAAAACUUUGGACAGCUCCACUAUUAACUAAAAGUUUCAUAUCACGGAUGAAUAAGUUCAUUAUUUAUCGAAGGAUUUAGAAACCAAAUAUUUAAACUUCAGCUGGAGUUCAGAUUUCAAACCCACGCUGCUGACUGCUGCAGUGACUUCACCCAGACGUGGUUUUUCUGACUCCCGUAAUGCCUCUUUUCUGGCUGCCAAACAACACAGUUGUAUGUUUCUACCUCUGUUACUAUGGUGUUGAUCUCUAUCUCAGACAUAUUUCCUGUUUUUUUGGCCAUAGAGCAUCCCUCCAUGUUGAAAUUCUGUGGGCGAUCCCGGCUGAACUUUGAAUAAUUAGGCGCGUUAUAUUUAAAUAACGAUUGGUCAGAUACGAAUGUUUCAUGAAUCACACGUGUCUCCUGUCGUAAGACCAAGUCUGCAUUAUUUAUUUCCCUGUCUUCUUUACUGUAUAUUCUGUACUUUGGAGAGGUUGACUGUAAAACUGAAUUGCCUUUUUGGGACUAAUAAAGUAUUCUGAAUCUGAA